AGGGGCGGACAGAACAGUCGGUGGAGCGGUGAAAUGCGUAGAUAUCGACUGGAAUGCCGAUGGUGAAGACGGUCCGCUGGGCUUGACCUGACGCUCAUGCACGAAAGCGUGGGGAGCAAACAGGAUUAGAUACCCUGGUAGUCCACGCCGUAAACGAUGCACAUUAGACCGGUGCGGUUUUGACGCCGUAUCGGUCGUAGGAAAACUGAUAAAUGUGCCGCCUGGGGAGUACGGUCGCAAGGCUAAAACUCAAAUGAAUUGACGGGGGCUCACACAAGCGGUGGAGCAUGUUGCUUAAUUCGAGGCAACGCGAAGAACCUUACCUGGGUUUGACAUGCUUGGAUUAACCCCGUGAAAGCGGGGCCACACCCUCCGGGUGGAACAAGCACAGGUGCUGCAUGGCUGUCGUCAGCUCGUGCUGUGAAGUGUCAGGUUAAGUCCUUUAACGAGCGCAACCCCUAUCGUUAGUUGCUCACGGGUCAUGCCGAGUACUCUAGCGAGACUGCCGGUGUCAAACCGGAGGAAGGUGGGGAUGACGUCAAGUCCUCAUGGCCCUUACAUCCAGGGUUGCAAACGUGCUACAAUGGCGCGCACAAAGCGACGCAAGAGCGCAAGCUGGAGCAAAUCGCAAAAAACGCGCCCCAGUUCGGAUUGCGGGCUGCAACUCGCCCGCAUGAAGUCGGAAUCGCUAGUAAUCGGAGAUCAGCUACGCUCCGGUGAAUGUGUUCCUGAGCCUUGUACACACCGCCCGUCACGUCAUGGGAGCCGGGAGUGCCCGAAGUCGCCACAGCACUGUGGUGCCUACGGCAAGAUCGGUGACUGGGACGAAGUCGUAACAAGGUAGCCGU
Molecule: ribosomal RNA, 848 nt
Filed under: uncultured soil bacterium
Lineage: Bacteria
Description: bacterial SSU rRNA
Rfam family: Bacterial small subunit ribosomal RNA
Source: RNAcentral